GCUGGCAAGGCAACACUGAGCACUUACAGUCGGAAAACCUGGACAACCCUGUAAGGCUGCUGUGACAAGUGUCUGUAGGUGCUGCGCAAACCAGACAUCGGCCAUCUGCAUGUCCCGAAGGCAACAGAGAGUCAGAGACAGAGCUACUGUGCAGUGCCGAACCAGGAGCCACAAAGGACUGUCAGCCACACGAUGACGCCCACAGGGAACUGGUGUGAGCACUGAGAUCGCAGCUAUUCUGAAUGUGCUGAUCACAGAACGUGCACAUCAGUGACAGCACUGGGCCCGCAUACUGCAGCAUAACGGGAAACAAACUCAGUUUCUUCGCCAGAAGCAUACAUAGUUCAGAGCUUUGAUUUCAGCUGAAAAGAUAUGCAUCUUGCACACUUCAAUAGGUACAAUUUAUCAGAAUUUUCAUAAAUGUGGGGUUUAAAGAGGCAACAGAAGAGUCAGCUGGAAGAAACAGAAGACUAAUCUCUAAAGAAGUGGGCAGAGCUGGAAGUUAUUACACUCAGAUUGGCUAAAUGUAAAAUAAAAUGGAUUUGGGUUUU
Molecule: long non-coding RNA, 551 nt
Organism: Falco peregrinus (peregrine falcon)
Lineage: Eukaryota; Metazoa; Chordata; Aves; Falconiformes; Falconidae
Exons: 2
Source: RefSeq, a predicted model, not a curated record